AGUGAACGCUGGCGGUAGGCCUAACACAUGCAAGUCGAACGGCAGCACAGUAAGAGCUUGCUCUUACGGGUGGCGAGUGGCGGACGGGUGAGGAAUACAUCGGAAUCUACUUUUUCGUGGGGGAUAACGUAGGGAAACUUACGCUAAUACCGCAUACGACCUACGGGUGAAAGCAGGGGAUCUUCGGACCUUGCGCGAUUGAAUGAGCCGAGGUCGGAUUAGCUAGUUGGCGGGGUAAAGGCCCACCAAGGCGACGAUCCGUAGCUGGUCUGAGAGGAUGAUCAGCCACACUGGAACUGAGACACGGUCCAGACUCCUACGGGAGGCAGCAGUGGGGAAUAUUGGACAAUGGGCGCUAGCCUGAUCCAGCCAUACCGCGUGGGUGAAGAAGGCCUUCGGGUUGUAAAGCCCUUUUGUUGGGAAAGAAAAGCAGCAGGUUAAUACCCCGCUGUUCUGACGGUACCCAAAGAAUAAGCACCGGCUAACUUCGUG
This 492-nucleotide ribosomal RNA is filed under the name uncultured bacterium. Its description in RNAcentral is "partial 16S ribosomal RNA". It matches the Rfam family "Bacterial small subunit ribosomal RNA", at positions 29 to 507 of the family's 1533-position model. The record is from RNAcentral.